This 253-nucleotide unclassified non-coding RNA is filed under the name uncultured Glomus. Its description in RNAcentral is "sequence contains 18S rRNA gene". It matches the Rfam family "Eukaryotic small subunit ribosomal RNA", at positions 569 to 829 of the family's 1831-position model. Lineage: Eukaryota; Fungi; Glomeromycota; Glomeromycetes; Glomerales; Glomeraceae. The record is from RNAcentral.
AGCAGCCGCGGUAAUUCCAGCUCCAAUAGCGUAUAUUAAAGUUGUUGCAGUUAAAAGCUCGUAGUUGAACUUCGGGGUUUACUCAUUGGUCAGGCUUAAUUGUCUGUACUGGUGAGAUGAAUCUCUACCUUCUGAGGAACUUUCAUGCCAUUUAUUUGGUGUGAUUGGAAAUCAGGACUGUUACUUUGAAAAAUUGAGUGUUUAAAGCAGGCUAACGUCUGAAUACAUUAGCAUGGAAUAAUAGAAAUAGGAC